GUUAAUUUUGGAUCCUGCACAAAGGUCCAAGGCAGCAGCAACCCAAAAGUGCUGGUUUCUUUUUUCCCUUGAGGAAAUUAGCCCUGAGCUAACUACUGCCAAUUUUGCUCUUUUUGCUGAGGAACACUGGCCCUGAGCUAACAUCCAUGCCCAUCUUCCUCUACUUUAUACGUGGGACGCCUACCACAGCAUGGCUUUUGCCAAGCGGUGCCAUGUCCGCACCUGGGAUCUGAACCAGUGAACCCUAGGCCACUGAGAAGCGGACCGUGCGCACUUAACCGCUGCGCCACUGGGCGGCCCCACGUGCUGGUUUCUGGAUGAAAUCAGAAACUAAGUGGCUGUCGGUCCCAUGACAACCUGAAUGGGAGCCCAUCCCUGAAUACCGGGCACUGUGGUUUCUGCAGCCCUCCCACCCUGAUGGAGGCCACGCUCCUCUGCUCCACUUGCCUCAGACCAGUGGAGGGAUCCAAACACCGCCAGCCCCUGUGUCCUCACAAACCAGAACCCUCCCCCUGUCACCUGCUCAGUGCCUUGGGCAGCCAAGGAAGCAGGGCAUCCCAGUCUGCCUACUCCCGGGCCUGUACGUAUCCAGGACCCACGGGGCUUGGCAGGACUCCUGCCCUGACACCCGGGUGAGAGACGCCCUGAAUCUCCGCCUAUAAGAAGAAAGUCUGUGCUGCUUUGCACAAGUUGAUGUCCCCGUUUUGCAGUUGCUAUCUUGCAGAGAAACUCCUAUGUUUGCAGCAAGACCCUCUGAAAAAUGUUCCAGCACCAAGCAUCCUAAAGUUACCUUUAGCUCAUUAGCAUCUUAAAUUCUCCUCUGGGAGGGUCCUAGCAGCCAUUGUCAGAUCAUGCCAUGUUAUGCAGCAGCAUGUUUACCUGCUAAGCAUGCGCCCUGAAUAAGCAUGGUUGUUAGAAAUAAACCUGUUACCCUCUCUCCUGUAGAAAGCCUCCGUCGGCACUGAGCUCAGGGAGACACUGCUUCUGGGGGCGAUCCCUGGUGUUCUCCACGGCGUGUCAAGCAAGAAAACUUUUCUUCACCUGCUUCUGCUUUGGUUGUUCCUUUCGGUUCUACGCUCACCAAGAGACGAACCCUCUGAGUUCAGUUACACAAGGGCCCACAGGAGCUUGUGUGCACUCCGCCCUCCCCUCCUUGGUGAAAAGCUCCUGCAGUCUGGGCCUCUCUGUGCCAUGGUGGAGGCCCUGGUGUUUCUAGACACACCUAACCACAGUUCAACAGUUUGGAAUACUUUUUUUUCACUCAAGGGACCUAGGAGGGAGUGAAUUAAAAUUGUAAAUGGCUGUUGAUUCUAGAUUCCUUAAUUAAACAUUAAGGGAGGGAGGAUUUUAGCUUUUAAAAGUAUACCCUGCUUACCUCGGUCAGCAUUUUCAGUCUAAGUGAGUAGAAUUUAGAAGCUUACCAGCUUCUCCUUUCCUGGGGGUGGCAGCGCUUAGCAACAUGGCAGAGCAUCUGAGGCUUUGCCAAGUGUUCCUUCCGUAAGUGCCCAGGUGGACUGUGUGAACUCAAUGACGUAUAGAAUGACUUUGGUACGAAGAAAAUGUUUCGAUGUAUCUGCAUUUAGUAGGGUAAACUGUUUUAUCCUUGCUAUUUAAAAAUCUCACAAGAUACUGUGCUCUGUGGCAGCAUAUAUAUGCAAAUCAAACCUC
Molecule: long non-coding RNA, 1668 nt
Organism: Equus caballus (horse)
Lineage: Eukaryota; Metazoa; Chordata; Mammalia; Perissodactyla; Equidae
Source: Ensembl